CCGUAACCUUCCUAACAGCUGUGACACUGUUUAGCUUGAAAAUUGCCCAAGAAGAGGCUGCACUGUCUGAGAACCUGCAAAUUAAAUGUAAAUUAUUUAUCCACAUACUUAUUUCAGUCCUCUCAUUUCCUUGACCUUGAUUCAGCCCAUGGAGGGUCCUGGCCCAGAGUGGGAAUGCGGGAUUCUGCACUAUAGCACGUUGAGUGCCUGACCCUGGCAUGUGCCCAGAGCAGACUCUGUUGGUUAGCCUGCUGA
This 255-nucleotide long non-coding RNA is filed under the name Bos taurus (domestic cattle). RNAcentral's name for it is "long non-coding RNA NONBTAT015013". Lineage: Eukaryota; Metazoa; Chordata; Mammalia; Artiodactyla; Bovidae. The record is from RNAcentral.